AAGAAUAGAGCACGAGGCUCUGAUACCAAUUGAAAAGGAUCGAGAUGGACCUAGAGGGGGGUGAAUAGGUACAGUUCCAAAUUUUAAUAAUUACUUAGCAAUUUUAGGCAAAAGUGCGGAAUAUGAGUGUAGGCCUAAUAAUUGCUAUGACAAGGAGUAAGCUAUUUAGAGUGAAGUAAGGCAAGCGGUAAACAAUGAUCAAAUACAAGUACGUAAUAAGGAUUAACACAAGUAGAUAGUUAGGGUUAGGAAUAACCGAAACUCCAAGAGAGACGAGGAUGUAUCCCGAUGUUCACUUCCGUGGAGGGAAGCUACGUCACCGUUAUUAGGGCGGAUGUUAUCAUGAAGGCACACCAACGCCAC
This 363-nucleotide long non-coding RNA is filed under the name Hordeum vulgare. RNAcentral describes it as "long non-coding RNA (HVUL_LNC004123)". The record is from RNAcentral. Lineage: Eukaryota; Viridiplantae; Streptophyta; Magnoliopsida; Poales; Poaceae.